ACGACCUUACUUGAACAGGAUAUGUUCUAUAGGAUCGUACCGCUACAUCCUUUACCAAAAAGGAGGCAAUAACUUGUUACCGCUACGCACUAUGUAGAGUAAAAUAUACUGUAGUUUGUCAAUACUUUAGUUUUUUAAAUACCUUGUUACCAAACAUAGCCUAAGUCUGGUUGAUGCAUUCUGACUUGGGGCCAGAGCGUGAUUAACGGCCUGGGUUACUGCCUGGUUCACGCCGGUGCAGGGUGGCCCAGAGGUUGUCUGACAGACU
Brachypodium distachyon (stiff brome) is the source of this 268-nucleotide non-coding RNA. The record is from Rfam. NCBI's taxonomy places the organism in Eukaryota, Viridiplantae, Streptophyta, Magnoliopsida, Poales, Poaceae.